This 433-nucleotide ribosomal RNA is filed under the name uncultured bacterium. Its description in RNAcentral is "partial 16S ribosomal RNA". It matches the Rfam family "Bacterial small subunit ribosomal RNA", at positions 29 to 507 of the family's 1533-position model. The record is from RNAcentral.
AACGAACGCUGGCGGCAGGCCUAACACAUGCAAGUCGAGCGAGGUCUUCUGGUCUAGCGGCUGACGGGUGAGUAACGCGUGGGAAUAUGCCUCUUGGUACGGAAUAGCCUCGGGAAACUGGGAGUAAUACCGUAUGUGCCCUUUGGGGGAAAGAUUUAUCGCCAAGAGAUUAGCCCGCGUUGGAUUAGGUAGUUGGUGGGGUAAUGGCCUACCAAGCCGACGAUCCAUAGCUGGUUUGAGAGGAUGAUCAGCCACACUGGGACUGAGACACGGCCCAGACUCCUACGGGAGGCAGCAGCGGGGAAUCUUAGACAAUGGGGGAAACCCUGAUCUAGCCAUGCCGCGUGAGUGAUGAAGGACUUAGGGUUGUAAAGCUCUUUCAGCUGGGAAGAUAAUGACGGUACCAGAAGAAGAAGCCCCGGCUAACUACGUG